Molecule: long non-coding RNA, 2083 nt
Filed under: Struthio camelus australis
Lineage: Eukaryota; Metazoa; Chordata; Aves; Struthioniformes; Struthionidae
Description: lncRNA (ENSSCUG00000014686.1)
Source: RNAcentral
AGGGCGUCCCGGGCGGUUUUAUUUCGUACCCAAAAAAAAAAAAAAAAAAAAAAAAAGGAUGACCCCAAAACAACGGGAAUAAAGGACACGCACAAACACAGCUACAAACAAAGUAAAUUUCACGCGGCUGGGAAAAAUAGUUUCUGAUAGUUUGGAUUUCUUACUUCUCACUUCGACCGUCAGAAGCCUACAUCAAAGAUAACCAGGAUCGACAGCUGCUGUUUUCUCGGAGGCUACCUGUAUUAAGCCGAAAAGGAGUGUUUUUGUCUUUAAAUCAGUGGUACGGCUGUGGUCGACGCGCGUAUUGCUUUUUGAUGAAGCAGCUUUUUUUUGAUGUAGCACUUUCUGGCAGGGCUCACACCGAUGUGUGAGAUGCAGCAUACCUUUCAAGUGCUCUGGAGCGUGAAUAACUCCCCACAGCAGGAGCCACCCUCGCUUAUCUAAUCUCUCCCACAUGUUACCGGAGGAAAGCGACACGAAGUAUGUGUCCACUUCGGUACUAACGGCAGCUGCCGCAUUUUGUCCCUGGGAAGUUGGCCAACACAGAUACAGCAUAGUAUGGUGUGAAAGUAUAAGUACACGCAGAAGAACAAUUAUAGAAAAUACUAUUUAUUAAUUUAUUGUCUUUAGUUUCCUUCCAUCCACAGGCUCAGAAGCAUAUAACUGCCCUUUUACAGUAUAUUUGCAAGGUCCCCACGUGGUAUCUUUGCUAUCGGUUAUACAGGGAAGAGGAGAAAUAGCACAUUGUUCUUUUUUCUCUCUCUCUACAAAUUUUAUUUAGAACUUGUUGGGAAUCUUUUUUUUUAAGUCCAGACUAGGUGAUCUACCGUUUCCCCUGCUACAGAGAAACUACAACACGUAUGUCACAACUGGCUGGCCAUUUUUUGACUAAGCAGUGUUUCUUUUGAAAAUGCCAACUUGUCAAAAUUAAAAUGUGUUGCAGCAGCAGGAAAGGCUCCGGAUGCAGAGGGGUAUCAUUCCCUUGGCAGACUUCUGCAGGGCUAGCAACCUGCCACGUUAUGAGACUGCUGUCCAGGAGAGGGGAACCUGGAAGCCCUGGAAGAUUCUCCAUGCUGUUUCAUCCUAAGAAGAAGGCUUCUCUGAGAGCUGAGCAACCCAGGAAGAAGCUGUGCCCAGAGUCGACAGGUCCCAGGCUCUGCAGGAAUCCCCAGAGCACAUCUGCCUUCAUGCACCUUGGGAGCCGUCAGGAGCAGAGUUAUGAGAAGUGCCUAUACUGCAAAAUUUAACAGUGUGAAAACAUUCUCAUCAGUUUGAAAAGCAGCAUAAACAUAUAUAUGCUCUACCUUAUGAUUCAAAAACUUUGUGCAUCAAUUACGUAGGCAAAAACAUGAUGUCCUGCUGAUGUCUAGUAUAUGGUGUAUAAACUAUAUGACACUUCUGUAGGUACUGUCUGUACCUGUGCACAAUUGCCAAACUCAGGCAGCACAUAAGACCCAGCAAACCUGCCAAAGAUGCACACUGAAGUCAGCGACCUGGAUGCCAACAAAAGUAAAAUAGUAUCUGCCCUCCUAUUGCAUUCUUCCCCUGCAAGGACUCCGCAUAACCAGGAAGAGCCAGUGCUUCAUGUGCUUGCAAGAUGGUUUGGUGUGAUGCAUUUUUUCACUUUGCCGCAUUUGGCUAUGUUCACGAGCACAACAGGGGUGGCUCAGAUCAAAGAAGUAGGUAAGGAGGCCUCUACCUCUACAGCACGUGCAAUUUGGGAGCUUUACCUUGGACUUUUGCAGUGAUUCAUAUUUGUUCGGUCAUUGGUCUGGAUCCUUAUGCCAUCAGGAGCCCACUCAUGUGCGUCUGGAGAAACAGCUUUCCAGGGUUCGGUUCUUGAAAAGCGAUCUCACACGCACCCAAACUGCUCUGUAAACUGAGCAUGGACGCUAAGAGGGGAAGUGAUGGCUUCAAAACCGCCCUGCGGCUCCAAAGGAGAACAGCAACGCAGCAAACGGCCCAAAACCCGGUUGCUUAGUGCCGUCUUAUGGUCCGCCUCCCAAACAUCUGCCCGCUUGCCCCGCAUACGGGGCCCUUAGCCCUGCCCCAGGGGGGGGGGGGAGGGCGAGGCCGGCGGGGC